GACAGAGGUCCCGAGCGUUAGGCGGAAUCACUGGGCUUAAAGCGUGUGUAGGCGGAGUUCUAAGUACCUUGUGAAAUCCCACGGCUCAACCGUGGAACUGCUUGGUAUACUGGUUCUCUUGAGCCACCUAGGGGCAACCGGAACAAACGGUGGAGCGGUGAAAUGCGUAGAUAUCUGGAGGAAUACCGGUGGCGAAGGCGGCAUCCUGGACCGGCAUUGACGCUGAGUGAGCGAAAGCCAGGGGAGCAAACGGG
RNAcentral lists this ribosomal RNA (254 nucleotides) under uncultured bacterium. RNAcentral's name for it is "partial 16S ribosomal RNA". It matches the Rfam family "Bacterial small subunit ribosomal RNA", at positions 524 to 776 of the family's 1533-position model. The record is from RNAcentral.